This 323-nucleotide ribosomal RNA is filed under the name uncultured eukaryote. Its description in RNAcentral is "partial 18S ribosomal RNA". It matches the Rfam family "Eukaryotic small subunit ribosomal RNA", at positions 1470 to 1796 of the family's 1831-position model. The record is from RNAcentral.
CCCUUAGAUGUUCUGGGCCGCACGCGCGCUACACUGACGAAGUCAGCGAGCAUGUCCUACGCCGACAGGUGCGGGGAAUCUUGUCAAACUUCGUCGUGAUGGGGAUUGAUUAUUGAAAUUCUUGAUCAUCAACGAGGAAUUCCUAGUAAGCGCAAGUCAGCAGCUUGCGUUGAUUACGUCCCUGCCCUUUGUACACACCGCCCGUCGCACCUACCGAUUGAAUGUUUCGGUGAAGAUUCCGGAUAGGACUUUUUUGAUUUAUUUCAAUUUUGUCUUAAAAGCUAUCUAAACCUCAACAUUUAGAGGAAGGUGAAGUCGUAACA